Molecule: ribosomal RNA, 309 nt
Filed under: uncultured bacterium
Lineage: Bacteria
Description: partial 16S ribosomal RNA
Rfam family: Bacterial small subunit ribosomal RNA
Source: RNAcentral
AGAGACAGCAGUCGCCACGGUAAUACGUAGGGUGCAAGCGUUAAUCGGAAUUACUGGGCGUAAAGCGUGCGCAGGCGGUGUUGUAAGACUGAUGUGAAAUCCCCGGGCUCAACCUGGGAACUGCAUUGGUGACUGCAACGCUGGAGUGCGGCAGAGGGGGAUGGAAUUCCGCGUGUAGCAGUGAAAUGCGUAGAUAUGCGGAGGAACACCGAUGGCGAAGGCAAUCCCCUGGGCCUGCACUGACGCUCAUGCACGAAAGCGUGGGGAGCAAACAGGAUUAGAUACCCCCGUAGUCCCUGUCUCUUAUAC